CCCUUCGGGGGAAAGCCGGGGACCUUCGGGCCUGGCGCGAUUGGAUGAGCCCAUGUCGGAUUAGCCAGUUGGCGGGGUAAUGGCCCACCAAGGCGACGAUCCGUAGCUGGUCUGAGAGGAUGAUCAGCCACACUGGAACUGAGACACGGUCCAGACUCCUACGGGAGGCAGCAGUAGGGAAUAUUGGACAAUGGGCGCAAGCCUGAUCCAGCCAUGCCGCGUGAGUGAAGAAGGCCCUCGGGUUGUAAAGCUCUUUUGUCCGGAAAGAAAAGCGCCGGGUUAAUACCCUAGUGUCCUGACGGUACCGGAAGAAUAAGCACCGACUAACUUCGUG
Molecule: ribosomal RNA, 334 nt
Filed under: uncultured bacterium
Lineage: Bacteria
Description: bacterial SSU rRNA
Rfam family: Bacterial small subunit ribosomal RNA
Source: RNAcentral